This 1005-nucleotide long non-coding RNA is filed under the name Oryctolagus cuniculus (rabbit). RNAcentral describes it as "lncRNA (ENSOCUG00000033296.1)". The record is from RNAcentral. Lineage: Eukaryota; Metazoa; Chordata; Mammalia; Lagomorpha; Leporidae.
ACUGGGCCAGCAGAGCCUGGAUAAGCCUGUGUCCGUCUCACAGGACCAUCUGCUGAGGAGGGCACGCCACGCUGCCUCUUGUGGGGGUGGGGUGGCCAGGCUCACCGUCAUGCCCCGGUGGGACCCCCUCUUGUCUGCCGUGGCUCCCUUGACCCUGCAUGGGUGCUGUGGCACGGGGCUCCCAGGGUCUUCUCGGCUCUGCCUUCGAUGCAAGGGGCAGCGAGGGGGAGCGAGGGGCAGUGUGUGCACCUGCAGGGGCUGCUUCCUGCUGCCAGCCUCCGGUUCUCUCUCCCGCACUGCCGCCGGCACCGCCUGUUCCACUGCAUGCUGUCAGUGCUUCCUCCGUCAGCUGCCCCGGCUGUGCCCACAGAGACCUCCUCCCCGUCUCCCUUCUGCUCACCGCCUGGUGUCUCGGGGUGAGGGACAUCCACCCGGAGCCCCAGUGCGCCCAGGGAGCACUCACUGCCCGGGGCCGGAGGUGGGUCCCACUCUGUCUUCCAGGGGGGCUGUUUGCGUCCCAGCGAGUUCGGUCCCGGUACUCAGGCCACGUUGCCAGCGGCCUGCCGCCAUCACCUUCUUCGCUGAUCUUCCUUGAGCGGCCUGGAGCCUCUUACCCCUCCCAUGGGCCUUCACUGCCCGGACUUUCUCGCGCUAGUUGGCGUUCAGUCCGCGGAUCUCUUCCUGGCCUUCACGGCCCUGGGACCGCCGGUGCUGGCCGAUGCACUCUGAGCUUCCUCCCGCUCGCUUCCCUGAGCCACCCGAGAUGCCCUCUCCCUGGACGGCUGCCCCGGGCUUGCCUGGUUCACGCCCAGUCUGCAGGUGCCCCGGGCUCCGGUUGAAAGUUCCCUGUGACUGCCAUUGCCCCUCAGCCUUGAACCGACACUGCCCUGUCAGCGGUUCUGGGCUCCAGGCAGCUUUGCCUCUCGGGAGCAGGUUCUGCUGGCCAGAGAGCCGAGCGCGGGCGAGUCAUGGUUCCCGAUGCGACUCCGCCUAGCUGGGACUCCC